GCCAGACUGGUCCUGAACUCCUGACCUCAGGUGAUCUGCCUGCCUCGGCCUCCCAAAGUGUUAGGAUUACAAGUGCGAGCUACCGUGCGCAGCCGCUGGGAUCCCAUUUUAAUCAAGCCAAUUUGCUACCCAUGGGGACCUCAACAGCUUUGCCAUUGCACACUAUCUUUGCAGACAAGAUCUUAAUCACAUCCAACUUUCUGCAGUUGCACAGGGUACCUCAGACCCACAUCCCAGAUGACAUUCCUCAGAAGCUCGCAGCUGGAGAUGACAUCACCUUAGACAACAUCACCCUAGCCCAAGACAUCGCUAUUAGAGAUACAUCACCUGGACACUAAAGCCUCCAACCCAGUGACACUCUCAAGGUGCUGACAAAAUGGACAUGGACAUUUGUUGCUUUUCUUCUUUUGAAUUAGGAACUCUAUUGUGUUUCCUGAAUUUACUGUCUGCUUGGCCCAUGAUCCUGGUAUGUUCCUUGCUCUCUGCCAAAACAUGCACCGUCCCCUCCACACCUAAAGGAAAACCUGGUAGAAGCUACUACUCUCAAUGCCAUUCUAAAAUUGACGAAGAGUAUUAUUUUCCCCAAGAGGCAGCUGCUGCAGGCCAGUGAAUCCUCUGGACCCUGGGGAGAGGGUCAUACACUCCCUAGUGACUUCUACUGUAUGCUCCAGCUUUCCACCAGGACCUCCUGCCCUGUCCCCAACUGUAACGACCACAACCACCCCAUCCCCUUGGUUACACACAAAUAUCACCAGUCUUUACAUGUACUUUACUGACUUCUCAGAUAAUACCCUCCAACAAGAUAACUGCAGGACUUGCCACCAUGACCUGAGAAAUACACCAAGAUAUUAUUGUCCAAUUUUUUUGAGAUAUAUAUAUAUUUCUCAUACUUUUAACAUACUCUGCAAUCCACCAAGAUAUUGGUAGAGACCCUGGAAAUUUCAAAUCUAUUUCGUCUGCUAAUGCCAUGUGAAUGGGAAACUUAGAUACAGGCUGGCCUACAAGGACUCCUUAUACUUCAAUUUUUGUUCCUCCUUUCAACUCUCAUAAAAAAUAUUUUCUGUACUAUUUAGGGCAAAUGAUGGCCUUCUUUCUAAGUCUCAUCCAUCAUUGCUGCAAAGGUGCCUUAGUUUGAUGUUAAAGUGUCACAGGGCCAAUGUAUUGACCAUGUUUCUGGCGUCUAUAAAGUCGAUGUUUUAAUAUCUGUCCUACAUGCAUACACCAAACAUUCCUUGAUCUGGAAAACCCAACAGUAUGCUUUGCUUCAGCCUCAGGCCUCCCUUGUCGCCUCCUCUGUGCCACCCCCCAUUCCUCGGGAGUCCUCCUCCUCCCAGGGGCGCACUUUUCAAAUACAAACCAACCAAUCCAGAGCCCACACCCCAACCACCUCCUUUAUUGGUCUCUCACAUGCUGGGCCACUAUCCACUUUCCCUAAUCACCCAAAGUCAGGUACCAGACAAUUAGGGACAGCCCCUAUACCCCAGAGCCUGCUGAAAUUAGCAAACUGGCCAAUCCCGAGUCUGUUUACUUUGCCUUCCUGUUUCUUCCCAAGGAAAUCACAAAAAAAGGCUCUUGUCCACAGCCCCCCUCUCGCUCUGCCUCCUGCUUCCCUGUGCGGCCCUGUGGUGUGGUGCACACCUUCCUCUUGGGAACUGUGUGAAACUAUCUCCUAAUCCUCUCCGUUGGCCUUAGUAUACCUCAAAUUUUUUGUAUUGAUACACUUUUUUUUGUGGGGUUUUUUUUGUUUGUUUGUUUUUUGUUUGUGAGACGGAGUUUCACUCUUGUCUCCCAGGCUGGAGUGCAGUGGUACGAUCUUGGCUCACUGCAACCUCUGCCUCCUGGGUUCACCUGUGAUUCUCCUGCCUCGGCCUCCCGAGUAGCUGGGAUUACAGGCGCACACCACCACGCCUGGUUAAUUUUUGUGUUUUUAGUAGAGAUGGGGUUUCACCAUGUUGGCCAGGCUGGUCUCGAACUCCUGACCUCAAGUGAUCUGCCCGCCUCGGCCUCCCAAAGUGCUGGGAUUACAGGCGGGAGCCACCAUGCCCGGCUGACACACUGUUUUCUUUUAAACAGCUGGGAAACCUCUUAUCCUCAUCACCAGUGCCAGGGUCCAGCUUCAGGAGGGCAGGGCUCACCUGCUUUACUUCCAGAUCACCAUGUGCAGCGUGGAGCUUCCCUCUGACGUGUUUGUUGGAUUUGUUUCAAAAAGGCGGCCAUGGUUUCUUUUUUUCCUUCCUCGGCCCUGAUUAAUUUCAACAGAAGAAAAUGUAUCCCCUCUAGUUUGUGAUGGAAUCCAAGCUUAAUUAGCCAUUCAUGGUGCUAAACUGUCCUGCACUGGAUGACCCAAUCGCUUCUGAUUUUCCAAGCUUGGCUCUCAGACCAUCCUGGUGGAAGAAACACUAGCAGUCUGCCCAAUCUGAAUGCAAAUCCAGAAUAAUCUUUUCUUUUGUUGUUACACAGUUAUGAGUGCAAUUUUUAAAUGGCUGCUACUCUACAGCCUGCCUGCCUUAUGCUUUCUCCUGGGCACGCAGGAAAGUGAGAGCUUCCACUCCAAAGCAGAGAUCCUAGUGACACUAAGUCAGGUAAUAAUCUCUCCAGCUGGACCUCAUGCACUCACAUGGACAACACACUUCUCUCCUUCAGUGAUCAUCAUCCUUGUACCAUGUUGGUGGCAUGCUGUAAUCGUGACUCAACAUCCGGUUGCCAAUUGCUAUGUAACAAACCACCUCAACAUUCAGUGGCUUGAAUUGAAAGCAGGGUCUUGAAGAGAUAUUUGCACAUUUCAUCCUCCCAGCAGCAUUAUUCACAACAGCCAAUAGGCAGAAGCAACCCAAUGUCCAACCAUAGAUGAGUGGAUAACCAAAAUGUAGUCCAUCCAUACAAUGAAAUAUGAUUCAGCCUUAACAAGGAAGGAAGUCCCGCCACGUGCUACAACAUGGAUGGACCUUGAGGACACUAUGCUAAGUGAAGUAAGCCAGGCACAAAAGGACAAAUACUCUAUGAUUCCAUUUUAUAGGGUACCAAAGAGAAUCAAACUCACAGAGAUAGAAAGUAGACUGGGGUGGCCAGGGACUCGGGGAGAGAGGAAAGGGCAGUUAUUGUUUAAAAGGUACAGAGUUUCAGUUUGGGAAGAUGAAAAUGUUCUGGAAACGGUUAAUGGUGAUUUUACAUUGUUUAUGUUACCACGAUUUGUAAAAGAGCAGCUGCGCUGAGAAUGAGCAUGCUUGUCAUUGGCAGCUCUCUGAGAUUUUCAGUGCCUCUUACUGGCUUGUUAAGAAGACGGCAGAUUCCUCUCCCCGUCUGCUUCUUUCAUUAUAAAAUUCCCAUUUCCAUUUUGCCUCUAGGUAGAAGCUCACGGAACUCAAAUGGGAAAUGAUGAUGGCAGGAUUUUCCUGCCGAAAAGAGGUGUCUCAAAAGAAAAACAUAUUGUAUUUAACAUGGAGAAAUGAAAUCCUCCAAAGCGAGCUUUAUGAACUGAAUUACCCAGAACGGACUUACCUCUAUUGUCAGUAUUUUUCUGCUGCCCCUUUGGGCUUCUGGUGCCUGGAUAACUAAAAGAGCAGGACAUCGUGCUGCUUAGUGGGCUUUGCAGUGGGAAGCGGGAACGUCUACCUGCAUGAGCACGGGGCACUCUGCCCAGAGCUUGGGCACAUUCCCCUAGGCACAGGAGUAAGGAAGAAGUCUCCAGUGUAGGUUAGGAAAUAGGCCUUCAGCAUGAGCUUACCACAGCUUUUUUAAGGAAAAAAUUAGUGGCUUAAAAUAAUAUUCCACUUUUUUUUUUUUGAGAUGGAGUCUCACUCCGUUUCCCACGCUGCAGUGCAGUGGUGCAAUCUCAGCUCACUGCAAGCUCUGCCUCCUGGGUUCACGCCAUUCUCCUGCCUCAGCCUCCCGAGUAGCUGGGACUACAGGUGCCCGCCACCACACCCGGCUAAUUUUUUGUAUUUUUAGUAGAGACGGGGUUUCACCGUGUUAGCCAGGAUGAUCUCGAUCUCCUGACCUCGUGAUCCACCCGCCUCGGCCUCCCAAAGUGCUGGGAUUACAGAUAUUCCACUAUUUUUUAUCAUAAUUGUGUGGACUGACUGGAUUCAGCUGGGUGAUUUGCACUCGGAGUCUCUCGCGUGGCUGCCGUCUUCUGAAGGCUGGACGUCCCACAUGGCUUCUUUACUAAUACAUCUGGUGCUUCAGCUGGGACAGCUGGGACAGCUGGCGGCUGCACAGGCAUCUCGCUCUUUGCACACAGGCUCCCCAUAUGCUUAGUUUGAGCUUGGUGAUUUUAAAGUAGUUGAACUUAGAUGGCAGCUGGCUUCCCUCAGAGUAAAUAUGCCAAGAUACCCAGGUGGAAGCUGUAAGGUUUCUAAUGACCUAGUCUGAGAUUUCACACCAAGAUGGCUUCCGUCAUAUUCUGUUGGUCAAAAAUAAGCCACACGGUGGGGCAUGGUAGCACACACCUGUAACGCCAACACUUUGGGAGGCCAAGAAGGGUGGAUCGCUUGAGCCCAGGAGUUCGAGACCAGCCCGGGCAACAUGGUGAAACCCCGUCUCUACAAAAGAAUACAAAAAUUAGCUGGGCAUGUUGGCACACCUCUGUGGUCUCAGCUACUUGGGAGGCUGCGGUGGGAGAAUCUCCUGAGCCCAGGGAAGUUGAGGUUUCAGUAAGCCAUGAUCAUGCCACUGCACUCCAGUCUGGGUGACAGACUGAGACCCUAUCUCAAAAAAAAUAAAAGCUACAGGUCAACCCAGAUUCAAGGGGAUAGGAUUACACAAAGUCACAGAUUCAGGAAGGUAUAAUUUAUUGGGGAACCGUCUUUGGAGACUAGCUACCACAAUCUGUCACCAUCUUUUAGAUAAGACGAUCAACAUAUUUCUGAGUAUACUUUAGAUUUCCACUAUCAGUGCAUUUUCUGAAACUUCCCCAGUCUUAGCACUGAAGGUCCUGCACCCCAGGAAAUAUCUAUCAGUCUUUGUCAAACCAGGAUGGUUGGUCACCCUACUUUUAGACCUCCUCAUUUUCAUGAACUCAAUAUUGCAUAAGGUUGAUCUUCCAAAAACAUGUAUCUGCCUUAAAAUUGUGAUUUCCAUCCUGAUGAGGUCUCCUCAUAUUCCUUUGUCUUUCUGGUUUGUAUAGGAUCCACUUGACUUCAGAGCUGUAGAAAUCCAAUAAUAUGGCAGUGAUGAUGCAUUCUUUUAUUGGCCCACAGUUAUUAUUUUAAUCCAAGAUACAGCUGAACACCAUAUCUUAGAUCUAAACUCUCAUACAAUAAGCCUUAAAAUGUAACUAAUAUAAAUCUGGGAGUUCAUAUGACCCUGCCUUGGUGGGAGUGACAUAUUCAAAAAACCAACAAUUUGACAAAAAAUAUAACCUAAAAACAAUUCAAGUUGUAUUUGGACUGUGAACACCAAUACGGUAUUAGUGUUAAUACAUACAUGCUUGUUACCUUAUUACAAUAGCAUAAAAUAUCACAAAGUAGAAAGAGUUCUGGGUAGACAGGAGUCCUGCUGAGUAGCUCUGUGCCCUGGGUGGGGGUUAUGAGGAAGGGUUCCCAGGUCUGCUUCCUCCACCCUGAGGUCACCAUUAAAGUUGGAAGAUGACUUAAAAAUCAGACAGCAUCAAUCCCCUUCAAUAGUUUUCUAUGGUGUAUGUGUUCAUUAAAUUCUGGGUCAUUGAACGGUCAUGGAUAACCUUAAUCUCUCUUAGCCUCAAUGUCUACUAACAUAGUUCAUAUUCUGUUAAAGUUAUGAGCAUUCGUAUUCUAAGAUUUGUAUUGAAUAUAGAUGAUAGAUUAAAAUUUUAGUGACAAAUCUUGAUGAUUCUGUAGGAACUUUUCCAUGUGAUAAAUCUUCUUUUCAUGCUAUCUUGGCUUCAGCAGAAUGGCAACAUUACAUUUAAAGACAGG
This 5894-nucleotide long non-coding RNA is filed under the name Homo sapiens (human). RNAcentral describes it as "non-protein coding lnc-PPP1R3G-9:2". The record is from RNAcentral. Lineage: Eukaryota; Metazoa; Chordata; Mammalia; Primates; Hominidae.